Molecule: ribosomal RNA, 496 nt
Filed under: uncultured bacterium
Lineage: Bacteria
Description: partial 16S ribosomal RNA
Rfam family: Bacterial small subunit ribosomal RNA
Source: RNAcentral
GAUGAACGCUGGCGGCGUGCCUAAUACAUGCAAGUCGAGCGAACAGACGAGGAGCUUGCUCCUCUGACGUUAGCGGCGGACGGGUGAGUAACACGUGGAUAACCUACCUAUAAGACUGGGAUAACUUCGGGAAACCGGAGCUAAUACCGGAUAAUAUAUUGAACCGCAUGGUUCAAUAGUGAAAGACGGUUUUGCUGUCACUUAUAGAUGGAUCCGCGCCGCAUUAGCUAGUUGGUAAGGUAACGGCUUACCAAGGCAACGAUGCGUAGCCGACCUGAGAGGGUGAUCGGCCACACUGGAACUGAGACACGGUCCAGACUCCGACGGGAGGCAGCAGUAGGGAAUCUUCCGCAAUGUGCGAAAGCCUGACGGAGCAACGCUGCGUGAGUGAUGAAGGUCUUCGGAUCGUAAAACUCUGUUAUUAGGGAAGAACAAAUGUGUAAGUAACUAUGCACGUCUUGACGGUACCUAAGCAGAAAGCCACGGCUAACUACGG